GACGAACGCUGGCGGCGCGCCUAACACAUGCCAGUCGAACGAGCGAGAGAGAGCUUGCUUUCUCGAGCGAGUGGCGAACGGGUGAGUAACGCGUGAGGAACCUGCCUCAAAGAGGGGGACAACAGUUGGAAACGACUGCUAAUACCGCAUAAGCCCACGACCCGGCAUCGGGUAGAGGGAAAAGGAGCAAUCCGCUUUGAGAUGGCCUCGCGUCCGAUUAGCUAGUUGGUGAGGUAACGGCCCACCAAGGCGACGAUCGGUAGCCGGACUGAGAGGUUGAACGGCCACAUUGGGACUGAGACACGGCCCAGACUCCUACGGGAGGCAGCAGUGGGGAAUAUUGCACAAUGGGGGAAACCCUGAUGCAGCGACGCCGCGUGGAGGAAGAAGGUCUUCGGAUUGUAAACUCCUGUUGUUGAGGAAGAUAAUGACGGUACUCAACAAGGAAGUGACGGCUAACUACGUG
RNAcentral lists this ribosomal RNA (466 nucleotides) under uncultured bacterium. RNAcentral's name for it is "partial 16S ribosomal RNA". It matches the Rfam family "Bacterial small subunit ribosomal RNA", at positions 28 to 507 of the family's 1533-position model. The record is from RNAcentral.